AUGAAAAAAAAGAAAGCAUUGCCUUCUUUACUAUAUCUUGUAUUUAUCGUACUUUUGCCUUGGGGGGUCUCUUCCUCAUUUAACAAAUGUCUGGAACUUUGGAUUAAGAAUUGGUGGAAUACCAGGCAAUCCGAAACUCUCUUAACUGAUAUUCAAGAGAAAAGGAUUCUAGAAAGAUUCAUAGAAUUAGAAGAACUGUCUCUCUUGGACGAGAUGAUAAAAGGGAAACUAAAGACACAUGUACAAAAACCUCCUACAGGAAUACACAAGGAAAUAAUACAAUGGGUCAAAAUAAAUAAUGAGGAUCAUCUCCAUACCAUUUUGCAUUUCUCGACAAAUAUAAUCUGUUUGGCUAUUCUAAGUGGUUCUUUUUUUCUGGGUAAAGAGGAACUUGUCAUUUUGAAUUCUUGGGUUCAGGAAUUCUUCUAUAAUUUAAAUGACUCAAUAAAAGCUUUUUUUAUUCUUUUAGUUACUGAUUUUUUUGUUGGAUUUCACUCCACCCGUGGUUGGGAACUAGUAAUUCGUUGGGUCUACAACGAUUUUGGAUGGGCUCCUAACGAGCUUAUUUUCACUAUUUUUGUUUGUAGUUUUCCAGUAAUUCUAGAUACAUGUUUGAAAUUUUGGGUCUUUUUUUUGUUUAAACCGUCUAUCUCCUUCGCUUGUAGUCAUUUAUCAUUCAAUUAG
Molecule: ribosomal RNA, 684 nt
Filed under: Triticum aestivum (bread wheat)
Lineage: Eukaryota; Viridiplantae; Streptophyta; Magnoliopsida; Poales; Poaceae
Description: partial small subunit ribosomal RNA
Source: RNAcentral